RNAcentral lists this transfer RNA (76 nucleotides) under Thermoanaerobaculum aquaticum. Its description in RNAcentral is "tRNA-Lys". It matches the Rfam family "tRNA". Rfam says of the family: Transfer RNA (tRNA) molecules are approximately 80 nucleotides in length. Their secondary structure includes four short double-helical elements and three loops (D, anti-codon, and T loops). RNAcentral also lists the same sequence under 5 other names. Lineage: Bacteria; Pseudomonadati; Acidobacteriota; Thermoanaerobaculia; Thermoanaerobaculales; Thermoanaerobaculaceae. The record is from RNAcentral.
GGACCGUUAGCUCAGUUGGCAGAGCAGCUGACUCUUAAUCAGCGGGUCGGAGGUUCGAGUCCUCCACGGUCCACCA